CUUGUUUUUGACUUGGUACCAAGAUCAAGACCUAAUUUGGAGCAAUGGAUCCUAAACACACAGUUGAGAUUUUGAGGCACCUGGAGAAGCAGCAUGAUCACCUAAUGGAUGCCUAUAGGUCAAUGACUCACGAAUUGCAUAAACUUCAGUGAUGGGUGCACAAACAAUACUGUGAUGCAUAUACUACACGGCAUAUCAACAGCAGCAACAAUCACAUGCUUUAAUCUACCAAGUGAGAGGGAGGGCAGGGGGUUUCCAUUUUUGCUACAAACUUCCUCCAUUCAUCCAAUUGCCUCAAAGGUAGAGGAAGAAAUGCUGAUGCGUAAAUUCUACGAACUCAUGGUAGCUAAAGGUCUAAACAAAAAGGCCGGGGUAAUUGAGGAAACUGUCAAUGAAGCUGUUGACUCAGCACUGGAUUCUGAGGAUAUAGAAGAGGAGAGUGAAGAAGAAGUUGAUAAGGUCUUGACUGCACUUGCUGGUGAGACUGCUGCUCAGCUUCCAGAAGCAGCUAGGAAGGAGAAACUAAAGCAACCGGCCAAGGUGGUAGGAGAUGAGGUUGAGGAUGAAGCAAUAGCUGAGGGUGCUGAUGACGAGGAAGAACUUGAAGAAAUAAGGACGACUUGCCAGAGUUAGGUCAUAGGUUGAGCCUUUUAUCCUUCAACGGCAUUAGAUACAAAGCAUGGAGAGAAAACAAUGGUUCCUUGGUUCAACCUUCAUCUCAUGGAAUGCAAAAUGCUUACUGUGACAGCUUUGAGCCUGCAUAUUGACUUGCUCAGAGUUUUUCUUGCUAUUCUCACACACUCCGAGGCCAAAUUGUGGCGUGUUUGGCGGCUCUCUCUCUCAUCAAACUUUGCUCGCAAGUUGAGUACAGUUUCUCAUCAUUUUGAAUGUUGAAGGUACGUAUUAUAUACAAUUGUCCCCAGUUGAAACAAAAGAGCUAUGAUUGCAUUAACUAACUAAAGAGUGAUGUAAAAAUCAUUAAACCUUUCUAAUAUGAAUUCCAGACAGUGAUGAGAGUCAGAAGAAUUCAUUCAUCCGUAUGGUUAGGUUAAUGGUUUAACUUCCAACUUAAUGAAUUUAAUAUUCGUGACGACGAAGAAGAAAUGCAAUUCUAUAAUUCUAAAAGUAUAACGACGACGACGACGACCACAAAAUAAGACAUCAAUUCUAGCUAUAAUUCUAAAAAUAUAUAUAUCCUCCAACUGGAAAGGAAAUGGAUUUCCUUCUGCUUCUAGAGAAAUUGAACCCGUCUUUAUCAACAAUACUGCUAAAUCUGAAGUCUAAGCAAGAACUAAGAAUGCCUUGCGAGCACUCUACAGUUACUUGUCUUCAUUUAUACGUCAGCCUCAGCCUCAUCAGGCUCUGGCUUUGAGGAAUUAAUGCCUUGCAAGCAUGAGAUUGAGAGCACCAACCACCACUACGUACCCUUUUCUUAACCACCACGUAGAUACUGGUUUGG
RNA transcript from Diospyros lotus (date-plum), 1459 nucleotides. It is a transcript of the gene named vacuolar protein sorting-associated protein 24 homolog 1-like, with no coding region annotated. NCBI's taxonomy places the organism in Eukaryota, Viridiplantae, Streptophyta, Magnoliopsida, Ericales, Ebenaceae. The record is from RefSeq and is a predicted model, not a curated record. The transcript is spliced from 9 exons.